RNAcentral lists this ribosomal RNA (406 nucleotides) under uncultured bacterium. RNAcentral's name for it is "partial 16S ribosomal RNA". It matches the Rfam family "Bacterial small subunit ribosomal RNA", at positions 30 to 526 of the family's 1533-position model. The record is from RNAcentral.
AUUGAACGCUGGCGGCAGGCCUAACACAUGCAAGUCGAACGAGUGGCGGACGGGUGAGUAAUGUCUGGGAAACUGCCCGAUGGAGGGGGAUAACUACUGGAAACGGUAGCUAAUACCGCAUACCAUCGGAUGUGCCCAGAUGGGAUUAGCUAGUAGGUGGGGUAAAGGCUCACCUAGGCGCCGAUCCCUAGCUGGUCUGAGAGGAUGACCAGCCACACUGGAACGGAGACACGGGCCAGACGCCUACGGGAGGCAGCAGUGGGGAAUAUUGCACAAUGGGCGAAAGCCUGAUGCAGCCAUGCCGCGUGUAUGAAGAAGGCCUUCGGGUUGUAAAGUACUUGCAGCGAGGAGGCGUUACUCGCAGAAUAAGCACCGGCUAACUCCGUGCCAGCAGCCGCGGUAAUAC